RNAcentral lists this ribosomal RNA (877 nucleotides) under uncultured archaeon. RNAcentral describes it as "bacterial SSU rRNA". It matches the Rfam family "Archaeal small subunit ribosomal RNA", at positions 1 to 879 of the family's 1478-position model. The record is from RNAcentral.
UUCCGGUUGAUCCUGCCGGAGGCCAUUGCUAUUGGAGUCCGAUUUAGCCAUGCUAGUUGUACGAGUUCACACUCGUAGCAAAUAGCUCAGUAACACGUGGCCAAACUACCCUCUGGAGCACGAUAACCUCGGGAAACUGAGGCUAAUAGUGCAUACCGCUCGACGCCUGGAACUGGCUCGAGCCUCAAACGCUCCGGCGCCAGAGGAUGUGGCUGCGGCCGAUUAGGUAGACGGUGGGGUAACGGCCCACCGUGCCAAUAAUCGGUACGGGUUGUGAGAGCAAGAGCCCGGAGACGGUAUCUGAGACAAGAUACCGGGCCCUACGGGGCGCAGCAGGCGCGAAACCUUUACACUGCACGCCAGUGCGAUAAGGGGACUCCAAGUGCGAGGGCAUAACGUCCUCGCUUUUCGUGACCGUAAGGUGGUCACAGAAUAAGGGCUGGGCAAGACCGGUGCCAGCCGCCGCGGUAAUACCGGCAGCCCAAGUGAUGGCCGCUCUUAUUGGGCCUAAAGCGUCCGUAGCUGGCCGCGCAAGUCCAUCGGGAAAUCUGUCCGCUUAACGGACAGGCGUCCGGUGGAAACUGUGCGGCUUGGGACCGGAAGAUCCAGAGGGUACGUCCGGGGUAGGAGUGAAAUCCUGUAAUCCUGGACGGACCACCGGUGGCGAAAGCGCUCUGGAAAGACGGAUCCGACGGUGAGGGACGAAAGCUCGGGUCACGAACCGGAUUAGAUACCCGGGUAGUCCGAGCUGUAAACGAUGUCUGCUAGGUGUGGCACAGGCUACGAGCCUGUGCUGUGCCGUAGGGAAGCCGUGAAGCAGACCGCCUGGGAAGUACGUCCGCAAGGAUGAAACUUAAAGGAAUUGGCGGGGGAGCAC